UGUAAGGUUAGAAAAUAUUACGAGGAAAUAUUCAAAGUAUCAUUGGAGAUUAAUUAAAUCCAUUCACAGAAUCAAAUUUUCUUUCAAUAUCCUGGCAAACGAAUUGCAAGAAAAAAGGAUAUCACGAUCGUAGGAAAAGAUGAGAAUAAGACCGAUUGGUGGGUUAGAAAUCGAUCGGAGUUGUCAUUGCACUCGCAAUGCUUUUCGCCUUGUAUCCGUUUCAUCGGAACGGUUCGGUAUCGUAAAACAUAAAAUGGUCUAUUCGAGUAGUUUCCUCGUGAUAAUCGAUUCGUCGUUAAAAGGCUUGAAGGAUUUUACUCCGUGGAACCGAUUUCGUUUUAUUCGUCCGCUAAAUGUCAAUCCAAUUACUUCAUAUUCAUAAAUGGUUGAAUCACUAUAUGAUACUAUCGAAUUAAAGUAUUGAAUUAAAACAGAGUUAG
Molecule: long non-coding RNA, 440 nt
Organism: Polistes canadensis
Lineage: Eukaryota; Metazoa; Arthropoda; Insecta; Hymenoptera; Vespidae
Exons: 3
Source: RefSeq, a predicted model, not a curated record